GUGCUGUGUGAAAGGAGAGAAGGUUAGCACUCCCCUUAACAAAGAUAGAAGAGGCCCUCAGGCCUGACAACACGCAUAUGGAUUAAGGCAUUGCCGCCUACUUCGUGGUAUCUACCCAACGUUUCAU
Molecule: small nuclear RNA, 127 nt
Organism: Suricata suricatta (meerkat)
Lineage: Eukaryota; Metazoa; Chordata; Mammalia; Carnivora; Herpestidae
Source: Ensembl